This 325-nucleotide ribosomal RNA is filed under the name uncultured eukaryote. Its description in RNAcentral is "partial 18S ribosomal RNA". It matches the Rfam family "Eukaryotic small subunit ribosomal RNA", at positions 1470 to 1796 of the family's 1831-position model. The record is from RNAcentral.
CCCUUAGAUGUUCUGGGCUGCACGCGCGCUACACUGAAGCGUUCAACGAGUAUUCACCUUGCCCGGGAGGGUUGGGUAAUCUUUUGAAAACGCUUCGUGAUGGGGAUAGAUUAUUGCAAUUAUUAAUCUUCAACGAGGAAUUCCUAGUAAGCGCGAGUCAUCAGCUCGUGCUGAUUACGUCCCUGCCCUUUGUACACACCGCCCGUCGCUCCUACCGAUGGAGUGAUCCGGUGAAUAAUUCGGACUGCAGCACUGCUUGGUCUCCAGGCUUUGCAGCGGAAAGUUUAGUGAACCUUAUCACUUAGAGGAAGGAGAANUCGUAACA